Molecule: long non-coding RNA, 874 nt
Organism: Gorilla gorilla gorilla (western lowland gorilla)
Lineage: Eukaryota; Metazoa; Chordata; Mammalia; Primates; Hominidae
Exons: 5
Source: RefSeq, a predicted model, not a curated record
AUGGUUUCCCCAGUGAAAUUUCCCCUGGAAGAAAAACCAUCCCUCCCACCCUGCCCCGUUGAGAACCACUGAUGUCGACCAACGACUGUCCUGAGGGUCACUGACACCCUUUCAAAGCCAAAAUUAUUUUCAUACUAAUAUGAAGACGUGAUUUGCCCUUUGCACAAUGCUGACGUUUGCACUGAUGGUGGAAAAGCAAUGGUCUUGGAGUUAGGUCAACAGGAGAAGAGUCAAGUGAGGUCACAGAUGAGUUGAAUUACUAGGAACAAGUCAAGAAGCCUCAAAAGAAUCAAGGCGUAAAAUACCAAGAACCUACUGGAGAAUAUAUAUUCCAUCAAAAUCAGGAAGAAACCCAAGAAAGAUGGCAUGGAAUCCAGCAAAGAAGGGAUCCAAUAUAGGAGAAAAACUAAGAGAAUCUCAAAAUGGUGAAGCAAAGUCACAGUAACAGAUAUGGAGAAGGCCUAGAAGGCAACAAAUCCAGACAGGAAUGUGACAGAGAAUCCAAGAUAGUUAUUUCUGAGGGAUUUUACAAAGGCACUGGAAGAUGUGAGAAAUUAAGCUUUAGGAAUGGCCUUCAUUGGUUGCAAUAGGAAGCGAAAGAGGAGACCUGAAAUCAAAUGAAAACGCGUAAGCAUCCUGGGGAGAAGCCCACUGGAUCUCAGUUCUGCCCUGCUCAGGGAAGUUCAGUAUCCAGGUGACUGAGAACAGAACCGGCUGGUACCAAAGACAUGAUUCUGAGGAGGCCGAAGCCCUUUCCCUCUGCCUCCAUACAUAACAGGAGCAGGACCACACACUCAGUCCCUGACAAGAAAAGGAGGGUGGAUUUUCUAAACUAUGAUAUUCAGCAUUAAAAUUAACAAGUUAACAAAAGUAA